Molecule: transfer RNA, 77 nt
Filed under: Allobrachymonas sp.
Lineage: Bacteria; Pseudomonadati; Pseudomonadota; Betaproteobacteria; Burkholderiales; Comamonadaceae
Description: tRNA-Val
Rfam family: tRNA
About the family: Transfer RNA (tRNA) molecules are approximately 80 nucleotides in length. Their secondary structure includes four short double-helical elements and three loops (D, anti-codon, and T loops). Further hydrogen bonds mediate the characteristic L-shaped molecular structure. tRNAs have two regions of fundamental functional importance: the anti-codon, which is responsible for specific mRNA codon recognition, and the 3' end, to which the tRNAs corresponding amino acid is attached (by aminoacyl-tRNA synthetases). tRNAs cope with the degeneracy of the genetic code in two manners: having more than one tRNA (with a specific anti-codon) for a particular amino acid; and 'wobble' base-pairing, i.e. permitting non-standard base-pairing at the 3rd anti-codon position.
Source: RNAcentral
UUAUGGAUGGCUCAGUUUGGUAGAGCAACGAAUCAACCUUUCGUCUGUCGCCGGUUCGAAUCCGGCUCCAUAAGCCA